UCAAAUUCAUGUCAUGGAAUCAAAUAUCUUGACAGGCUUUAGGCACAUUUGUCAUGUGUACAACAUUCAAAAGUUUACUUUGGCAUAAAAUGAGUAAUUCCGAUAUGGUUUGAACUUUGAAACCAAGCCACACCGAAUGAGAUGAGUCAUGUCCUCAAGAAGAUUUCCGUUAAAUUGAAGUACUCUUGCCGCAGGAUGAAGUUUAAUUCUAGCGAAGUUCAGAAAGAAAUAUAUCCGUUUAAAUGCUAAUUUUCGAAUUUGAAUCAUUUGAUUAUGUUUUAUGUAUGCUACAACAGGCAACAGCUUCAUUUUUUGUCACUCAAGCGACUGAAACGCCUGAGGUACCAUUCAUGAUCCAAUGGUCUUCUUCUACUUCAUCAAAAUUCGAUUCCAACCGGCAACUUAUAACCAACCGAUGUCCGACCCAUAUAGACAGCCCAAUC
This 443-nucleotide long non-coding RNA is filed under the name Phoenix dactylifera (date palm). Its description in RNAcentral is "long non-coding RNA (PDAC_LNC002274)". Lineage: Eukaryota; Viridiplantae; Streptophyta; Magnoliopsida; Arecales; Arecaceae. The record is from RNAcentral.